This 264-nucleotide ribosomal RNA is filed under the name uncultured Erythrobacteraceae bacterium. Its description in RNAcentral is "partial 16S ribosomal RNA". It matches the Rfam family "Bacterial small subunit ribosomal RNA", at positions 1 to 294 of the family's 1533-position model. The record is from RNAcentral. Lineage: Bacteria; Pseudomonadati; Pseudomonadota; Alphaproteobacteria; Sphingomonadales; Erythrobacteraceae.
UAGUGAGUUUGAUCCUGGCUCAGAACGAACGCUGGCGGCAUGCCUAACACAUGCAAGUCGAACGAGACCUUCGGGUCUAGUGGCGCACGGGUGCGUAACGCGUGGGAACCUGCCCUUAGGUUCGGAAUAACAGUUAGAAAUGACUGCUAAUACCGGAUAAUGUCUUCGGACCAAAGAUUUAUCGCCUUUUGGAUGGGCCCGCGUAAGAUUAGGUAGUUGGUGGGGUAAACGGCCUACCGAAGCCGACGAUCUUUAGCUGUUCUG